Molecule: long non-coding RNA, 2849 nt
Filed under: Homo sapiens (human)
Lineage: Eukaryota; Metazoa; Chordata; Mammalia; Primates; Hominidae
Description: RAB4B-EGLN2 readthrough (NMD candidate) (RAB4B-EGLN2)
Source: RNAcentral
GCGGGUCGCGCCGGAGGGGGGCGGAGGCGGAAGUGGCGGUGCCGGGCCCGGGGAGUAGGAAGGAGCCGGGGCUGUAGCCGGAGUGGAGCGGCUGCCAGCCGAGGAGCAGGCGCGGCCGCGGCGCCAUAUUGCGGCCCUCAGCGGCCGCGACCGAGUCAUGGCUGAGACCUACGACUUCCUCUUCAAAUUCCUGGUGAUUGGCAGUGCAGGAACUGGCAAAUCAUGUCUCCUUCAUCAGUUCAUUGAGAAUAAGUUCAAACAGGACUCCAACCACACAAUCGGCGUGGAGUUUGGAUCCCGGGUGGUCAACGUGGGUGGGAAGACUGUGAAGCUACAGAUUUGGGACACGGCUGGCCAGGAGCGGUUUCGGUCAGUGACGCGGAGUUAUUACCGAGGGGCGGCUGGAGCCCUGCUGGUGUACGACAUCACCAGCCGGGAGACAUACAACUCACUGGCUGCCUGGCUGACGGAUGCCCGCACCCUGGCCAGCCCCAACAUCGUGGUCAUCCUCUGUGGCAACAAGAAGGACCUGGACCCUGAGCGGGAGGUCACUUUCCUGGAGGCCUCCCGCUUUGCCCAGGAGAAUGAGCUGAUGUUCCUGGAGACCAGCGCUCUCACAGGCGAGAACGUGGAGGAGGCGUUCCUCAAGUGUGCCCGCACUAUCCUCAACAAGAUUGACUCAGGCGAGCUAGACCCGGAGAGGAUGGGCUCUGGCAUUCAGUACGGGGAUGCGUCCCUCCGCCAGCUUCGGCAGCCUCGGAGUGCCCAGGCCGUGGCCCCUCAGCCGUGUGGCUGCUGAGCUCUGUGGAGCCAGCCACCCUGAAGGGUCCCUUCCCAAGCCCUUAGGGACCGCAGAGGACUUGGGGACCAGCAAGCAACCCCCAGGGCACGAGAAGAGCUCUUGCUGUCUGCCCUGCCUCACCCUGCCCCACGCCAGGCCCGGUGGCCCCCAGCUGCAUCAAGUGGAGGCGGAGGAGGAGGCGGAGGAGGGUGGCACCAUGGGCCCGGGCGGUGCCCUCCAUGCCCGGGGGAUGAAGACACUGCUGCCAUGGACAGCCCGUGCCAGCCGCAGCCCCUAAGUCAGGCUCUCCCUCAGUUACCAGGGUCUUCGUCAGAGCCCUUGGAGCCUGAGCCUGGCCGGGCCAGGAUGGGAGUGGAGAGUUACCUGCCCUGUCCCCUGCUCCCCUCCUACCACUGUCCAGGAGUGCCUAGUGAGGCCUCGGCAGGGAGUGGGACCCCCAGAGCCACAGCCACCUCUACCACUGCCAGCCCUCUUCGGGACGGUUUUGGCGGGCAGGAUGGUGGUGAGCUGCGGCCGCUGCAGAGUGAAGGCGCUGCAGCGCUGGUCACCAAGGGGUGCCAGCGAUUGGCAGCCCAGGGCGCACGGCCUGAGGCCCCCAAACGGAAAUGGGCCGAGGAUGGUGGGGAUGCCCCUUCACCCAGCAAACGGCCCUGGGCCAGGCAAGAGAACCAGGAGGCAGAGCGGGAGGGUGGCAUGAGCUGCAGCUGCAGCAGUGGCAGUGGUGAGGCCAGUGCUGGGCUGAUGGAGGAGGCGCUGCCCUCUGCGCCCGAGCGCCUGGCCCUGGACUAUAUCGUGCCCUGCAUGCGGUACUACGGCAUCUGCGUCAAGGACAGCUUCCUGGGGGCAGCACUGGGCGGUCGCGUGCUGGCCGAGGUGGAGGCCCUCAAACGGGGUGGGCGCCUGCGAGACGGGCAGCUAGUGAGCCAGAGGGCGAUCCCGCCGCGCAGCAUCCGUGGGGACCAGAUUGCCUGGGUGGAAGGCCAUGAACCAGGCUGUCGAAGCAUUGGUGCCCUCAUGGCCCAUGUGGACGCCGUCAUCCGCCACUGCGCAGGGCGGCUGGGCAGCUAUGUCAUCAACGGGCGCACCAAGGCCAUGGUGGCGUGUUACCCAGGCAACGGGCUCGGGUACGUAAGGCACGUUGACAAUCCCCACGGCGAUGGGCGCUGCAUCACCUGUAUCUAUUACCUGAAUCAGAACUGGGACGUUAAGGUGCAUGGCGGCCUGCUGCAGAUCUUCCCUGAGGGCCGGCCCGUGGUAGCCAACAUCGAGCCACUCUUUGACCGGUUGCUCAUUUUCUGGUCUGACCGGCGGAACCCCCACGAGGUGAAGCCAGCCUAUGCCACCAGGUACGCCAUCACUGUCUGGUAUUUUGAUGCCAAGGAGCGGGCAGCAGCCAAAGACAAGUAUCAGCUAGCAUCAGGACAGAAAGGUGUCCAAGUACCUGUAUCACAGCCGCCUACGCCCACCUAGUGGCCAGUCCCAGAGCCGCAUGGCAGACAGCUUAAAUGACUUCAGGAGAGCCCUGGGCCUGUGCUGGCUGCUCCUUCCCUGCCACCGCUGCUGCUUCUGACUUUGCCUCUGUCCUGCCUGGUGUGGAGGGCUCUGUCUGUUGCUGAGGACCAAGGAGGAGAAGAGACCUUUGCUGCCCCAUCAUGGGGGCUGGGGUUGUCACCUGGACAGGGGGCAGCCGUGGAGGCCACCGUUACCAACUGAAGCUGGGGGCCUGGGUCCUACCCUGUCUGGUCAUGACCCCAUUAGGUAUGGAGAGCUGGGAGGAGGCAUUGUCACUUCCCACCAGGAUGCAGGACUUGGGGUUGAGGUGAGUCAUGGCCUCUUGCUGGCAAUGGGGUGGGAGGAGUACCCCCAAGUCCUCUCACUCCUCCAGCCUGGAAUGUGAAGUGACUCCCCAACCCCUUUGGCCAUGGCAGGCACCUUUUGGACUGGGCUGCCACUGCUUGGGCAGAGUAAAAGGUGCCAGGAGGAGCAUGGGUGUGGAAGUCCUGUCAGCCAAGAAAUAAAAGUUUACCUCAGAGCUGCACACAUCUGA